GACGAACGCUGGCGGCGUGCUUAACACAUGCAAGUCGUACGGUAAGGCCCUUUCGGGGGUACACGAGUGGCGAACGGGUGAGUAACACGUGAGUAACCUGCCCACAACUUUGGGAUAACGCUAGGAAACUGGUGCUAAUACUGGAUAUGUGCUCCUGCUGCAUGGUGGGGGUUGGAAAGCUCCGGCGGUUGUGGAUGGACUCGCGGCCUAUCAGCUUGUUGGUGGGGUAGUGGCCUACCAAGGCGGCGACGGGUAGCCGGCCUGAGAGGGUGACCGGCCACAUUGGGACUGAGAUACGGCCCAGACUCCUACGGGAGGCAGCAGUGGGGAAUCUUGCACAAUGGGCGCAAGCCUGAUGCAGCAACGCCGCGUGCGGGAUGACGGCCUUCGGGUUGUAAACCGCUUUCAGCAGGGACGAAGCUUUUUGUGACGGUACCUGCAGAAGAAGCACCGGCUAACUACGUG
RNAcentral lists this ribosomal RNA (465 nucleotides) under uncultured bacterium. Its description in RNAcentral is "partial 16S ribosomal RNA". It matches the Rfam family "Bacterial small subunit ribosomal RNA", at positions 28 to 507 of the family's 1533-position model. The record is from RNAcentral.